AGUGGCGGACGGGUGAGUAACGCGUGAGAAUCUGCCUUGGGGUCGGGGACAACCACUGGAAACGGUGGCUAAUACCGGAUACGCCUUCGGGUAAAAGAUUUAUUGCCCUAAGAGGAGCUCGCGUCUGAUUAGCUAGUUGGUGAGGUAAGAGCUCACCAAGGCAGCGAUCAGUAGCUGGUCUGAGAGGACGAUCAGCCACACUGGGACUGAGACACGGCCCAGACUCCUACGGGAGGCAGCAGUGGGGAAUUUUCCGCAAUGGGCGAAAGCCUGACGGAGCAAGACCGCGUGAGGGAGGAAGGCUCUUGGGUUGUAAACCUCUUUUCUCAGGGAAGAAGUUCUGACGGUACCUGAGGAAUCAGCCUCGGCUAACUCCGUGCCAGCAGCCGCGGUAAUACGGAGGAGGCAAGCGUUAUCCGGAAUUAUUGGGCGUAAAGCGUCCGCAGGUGGCGAUUCAAGUCUGCUGUCAAAGCACGGGGCUUAACUCCGUAAAGGCAGUGGAAACUGAAUAGCUAGAGUGCCGUAGGGGUAGAGGGAAUUCCCGGUGUAGCGGUGAAAUGCGUAGAGAUCGGGAAGAACAUCGGUGGCGAAAGCGCUCUACUGGACGGCAACUGACACUCAGGGACGAAAGCUAGGGGAGCGAAUGGGAUUAGAUACCCC
RNAcentral lists this ribosomal RNA (660 nucleotides) under uncultured bacterium. Its description in RNAcentral is "bacterial SSU rRNA". It matches the Rfam family "Bacterial small subunit ribosomal RNA", at positions 94 to 788 of the family's 1533-position model. The record is from RNAcentral.